AAGUCGUAACAAGGUCUCCGUAGGUGAACCUGCGGAGGGAUCAUUACAGAGUUCAUGCCCUAACGGGUAGAUCUCCCACCCUGUGUUAUUAUUACUUUGUUGCUUUGGCGGGCCGUCAGGCUCACGCCCGACUACCGGCUCCGGCUGGUAAGCGCCCGCCAGAGAACCCUAAACCCUGAAUAUUAGUGUCGUCUGAGUACUAUAUAAUAGUUAAAACUUUCAACAACGGAUCUCUUGGUUCUG
RNAcentral lists this unclassified non-coding RNA (243 nucleotides) under air metagenome. Its description in RNAcentral is "partial contains small subunit ribosomal RNA, internal transcribed spacer 1, and 5.8S ribosomal RNA". The stretch from base 1 to 46 matches the Rfam family "Eukaryotic small subunit ribosomal RNA", at positions 1786 to 1831 of the family's 1831-position model. The record is from RNAcentral.